Molecule: long non-coding RNA, 2043 nt
Organism: Capsella rubella
Lineage: Eukaryota; Viridiplantae; Streptophyta; Magnoliopsida; Brassicales; Brassicaceae
Exons: 17
Source: RefSeq, a predicted model, not a curated record
UUCACGAAGAGAAAAACAAAAUUGUAAUGGCGACGAGAGCAACAACCAAGAGAAAUAAUCCUCAGAGACAGAGAGAGCUUGUUCUAAUGGCGACGAGGGCCAAACAGAUAUGAACAAAGCAGAGGUGUACGGUUUCUUUUGAGUCUCGUUGAUGGUUUGAAGAAUGAAGAAGAAGAUUCGGAUCAGAAAAGAUAACGCUUGACAUAUAAUGGAAAAUCUGAUUCUAGUGCUCGUCUUCCCCGAAUCAAUACAUCUUCCUUGUCAGUUUCACUUCAGUUUUUGAGCUAGUCCAUGCCAGCCUAUGGGAAACUGUGGCAACACUCUAUGCGCCUGAAAUCGUUGCCCUCUGUUCAAACAAUACUCAUAUUUAUAUAAAGCAUCUCAACAAACCAAUGGGAGAGGUUACAUGUCCUCCAAAAGGUACGUGUGGAGUCUGGAAGGAGGAAGAUGGGUACCAAACGCUCAUGUUAGUCUUAGGCUAAAUCCUGAUGCACUUUGUGUCCAAUGAAUGGAGUCCAAAAGGGAACCAGAUUGCUAAUUGUUCAAAACCCGAGCCAAUACUUCUUCCUUGUCCGCUUCAAUUGCUGAUCCACAAAUUUUAGCCUCUUUAGAUUGAGAAUUUGGUUCACAUUCUUUGCAACAUAGGGGAUCAUUCCUUAUGACCCAACAACAACAAUAGAUAAUCCUUUAUCUUGAUUUGAUGUGGAUAGAAUGCAGUCUGUGGGAAGUUAUGCAGUUGGUUACAUAUUACUCUCUUUCCAAAGAAUAAUGAAGUUUACCUUAAAACCAGUGGGAGAGGUUACAUGUCCUCAAAACGAAAAGGGCUGUACAGAAAACUCAGUUCUCCCUUACUAUGUUCAUUGUUUGAAUCGCUGCAGCAUGGCCAAAUUGAAGUCUACAGUACAGGUUGAUACCAUUUUGACUGGGAUCAUGAUUGGUAUGUCUGAUGUUGCGGCUAUGAUCCCCAGAAGUGUAGGAUUGCUUCCAUCUCCUGCCCUUGGUUAUUCAUAUCUUCUUCCUUUUUUGCCUUUUCUUUAUAGUGAUCUCAUUUCUUUAAAAAUAUAUUCUUGGAUUUUUCUCAUACUCUGAUGGAUACAGGAUAAUAGGAGAAGCAGUACUUUCUGACCGUGGAUUCAGAACUUGAGACAUUCAUACUCCUGAAACUUAGGUGAAAUUUCGAAGCAGAGUAGCACCAGCUGUGUUUUUUUGUUCAUAGAGAAUGGGAGCAGAAGAAGUUUCUAGUGGUUCUUUCUUCAGUCAGACUCAGAUACAGUGGACAAUGCUGAGUUAAGCAACACAGCUUUGGUGUUUGUCAUUAGAAAGGCCCUUGCAUCUGUCCAAAAUGUGAGUCAUGCACAAAUGUUGCUUCUUUCCCAGUUACAGGUUUUAGUGCCUUAUGUGGAUAAGUUGUUGAAGUUGGAGAACAGCUCAAUCGGAAAAGUUGUUGGCAAGGUGAUUCUUUUGGCGUGGUGAAUGGUGAUGGAGAGGUUGCGAGACCUUGAUUUCAGAGGUGUUUGAAUUGGAACUUGAAGUUGCAGUUGAAGGCACUAUGAAUGAAGGGGAGGAGUUUCCAGUGCCGUCUCUAAAUAAAAUGGUUCAGCUAAAAAUGUCGUCUCUGAGUUGUUGAAAAAAUUAAUGGUACUAUCUUUUAAGCAUCUUGAAUCCUAUCCAAAAGCUGGUCGUCUGGAUGAGGUGUUUGAAAUUCUCUUAAGAGUCAUUUGAGAACUUGGUUCUCAACACGCGCAAAUUAAACGUUUCACAGUUGAUAUUCUAUAUGUGAUCACUAGAUCCUGAAAAUUGUGGUGUGAAAUUUGCAAGUAAGCUGUUGGACAUAUAUCUCUCCGGCAACAAUCCUCAAGUUACUAUGAUACGGUUUUUAAAUGUGUAUUUUUUACAACAGUAUAAAUUAGAGGGAGCUAAAUGACUAAUACCUAACAUAAAUUGACAGAACAGUGCAAAUCCUAAAGUUGAAUAGUGUUUUCCUUUGUAUGCUAUUUUUCUUUUGAUGAGAGUCGUCGUUUCAUCUCAAUCUAGUUAGAAGUU